Mesocricetus auratus (golden hamster) is the source of this 3261-nucleotide long non-coding RNA. RefSeq lists it as uncharacterized. The record is from RefSeq and is a predicted model, not a curated record. The transcript has 3 exons. NCBI's taxonomy places the organism in Eukaryota, Metazoa, Chordata, Mammalia, Rodentia, Cricetidae.
UAGGCCGACUGAGAGGUGUUCUGUUUUGGGGGGGUUGUUUGCUUUGUGUUUUAAAACAGUCUCAUGUGGUCCAGUCUGACCUGAGCUUACUGUGUGACCGUCUGAUCCUCCUGCCUCUACUCCAGGGUGCUGGGGUUGCACGUGUGUGCUGCCAAGCACUCUCGGAACUGAGAUGUCUCUCGUCUCAAGAGUUUUGGGAACUACCUAUGGUUUAGGUGUCAGAGCACGGUACUAAGCCAACAGGGAGAAGGUGGGGCUAAGUGUACAGUCACCAAGGAUCCGAAGACCAGACUUUGAGAUGGAAAGGAGUAACAGAAGUCAAAAUCUGGCAGCCAGACUGAUGAAGAGUAGCGAUAAAGAGUAGCUAACUAAAGAGUAACUUGGCAAGCCCAAAGAAAAGAAAGGAAAGAAAACAUGGCUAUCAAGAGGGAAGAGAGGAAGGCCUUGGAAAAGGGAAGAAGUUCCCUAUCAGACCUUCAGGCUCCUGUACAAAGUGAUCCCUGCGGUCAUCUCGCAAGCACGGGAGGAGAGCUUCCUACACAGCUUUUUUUUUUUAAACUUAAAGAAGUUCAAAAUCCCUUCCUGAACACUACACUCUAGUAUUUGAAAUUGCCAUACCUGUAAAAUGCAUCUAAACUUAAGGGAGACUGAGCCAAAAUGAUGGCCACGUGAAGUAAUUCUUUAUGAGAAGAACAAUGAAGUUCAUCACACUCCCUGGGAGCACCAGUUGGAGGGGAGACCCCACUGUGCUUAUGUGCUGAAGACACAAAGGCUGGAGAGAGCAGUUCCAGGGAGGUACCCUGUCUCCUGUGACUCUUACACCAACAGCUAGACAGUGAUGGGUUCCCCCUGUCCUAAAUGGAUCACUCAGAGACAACUAAGAGAAAAUUAGAUUGUUUUGAAAUGAAAGUAAAGGUUGGAUUUAAAAAGUCUGUUCUUCAAAGCAUGCCCAACUGUGGGCUGCAUGCUCCUCAAGAUAGUUAUGAGUCAAACCCCAAAUCACACACUUACCACAGUCUGAGGAUGCUGCAGAGAGCUCAGGGGUAAGUGCUUCCGGAGCUGACAUCGACUUCCUAGGACCCACAUAAGACAGACAAAGGAACAAGCAACACUUGCGGGGUUUGUGACUUUUUAAAAAAGCUUGUGAUUCUCAAGUGUGAUCUUGGCAGAUGGCAAUGUCUUGUGAUAUCGAAGUCCAAACACCUGGAAAGGGCAUAACUAAUCAAACUGAUCUAGAAGAAUACUUCUCUAGGGCUUUUAAAAGUCAGAGUGCAAGUUCUUGCUACUAGCUCAGCCAGCACUAAAGAUUCAGUUUAUUCUCAUCUACAAAAUGAAUUGCUCAAACUACAGCACAGAACCAUCAACACACGCAACAAAAUCAUCUCUAAUGGGAAAUCACUGGCUGAGUUUCCAGAACAGAGGAUCACCUCUGCCACCUUUCAGGGUUUGUCUGGCUGUUAUCUACUGUUAUCUAGGUAAGAUAUUACAGCACACACACACACACACACACACACACACACUCUCUCUCUCUCUCUCUCACACACACACACACACACACACACACACACACACACGAGUCUGCUCAUCUGGCAUCUAAUAGCAUGUGUGCCUGUGGCCAUGCUUCCCCAGGGCCGUGUGCACAAGCACUAAUGCUCAUAUUUUGUUAACACAUCCCUCUUUGCCUGGGUCCUGGCGGUCUUAAAGUGUGACUGGUUGAUAGCCUCUGUGUGCUGCAGUAUUAUAAUGUGCACUUUCAGGUUUAGUGUGUAAUUAAAACUCCUGUUCUUAAAACAUCUAAAACCCAAAUGUUUGACAAAUGGCACCAAGUACUAUGUGAGUAAAGUAAACAUUAACUCACCCAGCAAGUUCUGAAUUUUCUACUAGAAUUAUUUUAGACAUGCGAGGCUACAUGCUUGUCAGAUUUCCCAAAAUGAACUUUGUAUAAAAACCACACUGGCCCUUCAGCUGGGUUUUCUUCUAUUGCUUAUAGAUAAAUAGAAAACAAAUGUUUAAAAAAAGAAAAAAAAAGCCUAGUGAACUGCAAACAGGCUGCCAGGGUGAGCGCUUUUCUCUAAGAUUAGUCUAUACUGAAGUGUGUGACCAGAGUCACUGAAGUCUCGAUUUCCCUAAUGGUGACUUUCACAAUGUGCAGAAAACCAUUGGCAGCCUCCAUUCCCUCCGCUGGUCGCUGAGACUAAAACAGGAGGCACAUUUCAUUCUGGGUGUCACUGCACUGCAAAUAGAGAACUUUGGGGGCAAGUUUUAAGUGUUUUAGUGAAUAUUGUACAUGGGGUUAUGGGUAUUUCGCUCAUCUACCUAAGCCUGGAGUGAAUGCUUGACCAAAACACAAGAUCACAGACAAUAUAAUUAGCAGAAAAACUCAGAACACAUGCACGGAUUAUUGGAUGACUUACUUGCGUUAUAAACAAACAAACAAAGUCAGGCAGAGGCAGGUGGAUCUGUGAGUUCUAGGCCAGCCUGGUCUCCAGAGUGGGUUCCAGGACAGUCAGGGCUAUACAGAGAAACCCUGUCUCAAAAAAACAAAACAGCAACAACAGCAACAAAAGCCCCACAAACAAACACAACAACAAAAAACAAAACCACAAAAAAAGUUAAUGUAACAAAAAUACUUAAUUUAGAAAAAGCAUGUUAAGUUACCAGGAGCUUAUAUUGAAGCCAAAUGUUCAGACUAUUAAAACACCUUGGACUUUUAAUUUUGUUUUGUAUUUGCCUGUAAAAAUAUUGUCCUUGGGCUUGAGAGAUUCUCAGCAGCUAGGAGCAUGUACUGUUCUUGCAGAGAGCCUGAGUUCUGAGCCCGGUAUCCACAUGCUAGCUCACAACCGCUGGUAGAUAGUUCUAGUUCCUGGGUAUCCUGGGUGCCCAAUGUCCUCACCUGGCUCCUGUGGACUCUUCAAUGUACACGAUCCCUAUAAACUCACACAGGCCCACGCAUUAUGUUGGCCUGCGCCUGUCACUUGGCAGAAGGCACCCGGGCAGUACCCUGGUCAGCCCAGGGUUCAAUGAGUACUAGUCUGCUCUCAGGUGCAAAGGACCCUUUUAAAAGACAGACCCCGCCCACUUAGCUCUCUUUCCUGCUCCCACCUCCCCCCCCCCAGCUCUCCCCUGCCCUCUUCUCUGGUUCCCUUGGGGCAGACAAGACUUUUCCUGUCUCCGUCUUCUCUUCUGUCCCCUCUGUCUCUAUGUCUCUUUACCUCUUUCUUAGUUCCUUUCCCCACCUUCUAAUAAAGCUUCUCACUUAAA